GAUGAACGCUGGCGGCGUGCCUAAUACAUGCAAGUCGAGCGAAUAGAUUAAGAGCUUGCUCUUAUGAAGUUAGCGGCGGACGGGUGAGUAACACGUGGGUAGCCUGCCCAUAAGACUAGGAUAACUCCGGGAAACCGGGGCUAAUACCGGAUAACAUUUUGAACCGCAUGGUUCGAAACUGAAAGGCGGCUUCGGCUGUCACUUAUGGAUGGACCCGCGUCGCAUUAGCUAGUUGGUGAGGUAACGGCUCACCAAGGCAACGAUGCGUAGCCGACCUGAGAGGGUGAUCGGCCACACUGGGACUGAGACACGGCCCAGACUCCUACGGGAGGCAGCAGUAGGGAAUCUUCCGCAAUGGACGAAAGUCUGACGGAGCAACGCCGCGUGAGUGAUGAAGGCUUUCGGGUCGUAAAACUCUGUUGUUAGGGAAGAACAAGUGCUAGUUGAAUAAGCUGGCACCUUGACGGUACCUAACCAGAAAGCCACGGCUAACUACGUGCCAGCCGCCGCAGUAA
RNAcentral lists this ribosomal RNA (515 nucleotides) under uncultured bacterium. Its description in RNAcentral is "partial 16S ribosomal RNA". It matches the Rfam family "Bacterial small subunit ribosomal RNA", at positions 28 to 523 of the family's 1533-position model. The record is from RNAcentral.